RNAcentral lists this ribosomal RNA (246 nucleotides) under uncultured bacterium. Its description in RNAcentral is "partial 16S ribosomal RNA". It matches the Rfam family "Bacterial small subunit ribosomal RNA", at positions 15 to 244 of the family's 1533-position model. The record is from RNAcentral.
GAUCCUGGCUCAGGACGAACGCUGGCGGCGUGCCUAACACAUGCAAGUCGAACGGAGAAUUUUAUUUCGGUAGAAUUCUUAGUGGCGAACGGGUGAGUAACGCGUAGGCAACCUGCCCUUUAGACGGGGACAACAUUCCGAAAGGAGUGCUAAUACCGGAUGUAAUCAUCUUGCCGCAUGGCAGGAUGAAGAAAGAUGGCCUCUACAAGUAAGCUAUCGCUAAAGGAUGGGCCUGCGUCUGAUUAG